AUCGAUUCACAUGACAAUAGGGCAAAGAAGGCCGGUUCACCUGAUAAGAAGGUGAAGGCAAAUGUUUCAUGUACAAAGAAUGCAAUUAUUCCCGAUCCAGAGGUGUUGCGAGCUCUCACUAUUCCAUGCUUUUGGUUGCAUAAGUGCGCUAACGAUUUACCCGACGAUAGUGCAAUAUAGGUUGUUUUGGGGGCGCAACAAUUCCACUAUCUUGAGGAGUCAUCGACAUUCAUUUCUAAGGUCAAUAUCAAAGAAUUCUUAUGUGGGGAAGAGUUAUGUGUUUCCAUGAUACAAACUUUCAUGAGGUUAUAAUACAAUGAAUUGAUUAGAAAAUCAAGUGGCCCAAUAAUGUUUGGUUGGUCGUAUCCAAACAUAUUACGAGAUAAGAAUUGUUUGAAAAACAAUUAAAGUCGAAGCGAAAGAUUACAUUGAAAUGAGUUUCAAAGCAUCAUCUCGUUUAGGAGUUCAUCAGAUCAUCCUAGUCCCGUAUUUUGAAAGCGCACAUUGGACACUGAUUGCGAUAUGUUUGUCAACUAACCAAGUCUACCACUUCGAUUCUUUGCGUCGACAACCACCACAGUCUUUACUACUCAAAUCUUUGUUAAACAGGUAGCCUAACUAAAACUAAAUAUAUACGUACUUAUUAAUAUUACAUGAUCCUACAAUGUUGUAUUGAUGUAGUGUGAUGAAGAAAACUAUUGGAGGAAGACUUACAAUAGCAAAAGCUCCUGUUUGGAUAUCAGUCGAGUGUCUGCAACAAGAUGAUGGACUUUCAUGUGGCUAUUACGUGACGAGGUUCAUAUUCGAUAUCGUCAACUAUUGAACUAACAUCGAUGAUCUUCAAACGGUUUAUAUGAAUAGAAGUUUGAAGCGCUUCACCAAGGAGAAAUCAAAUGAAGUUCGGGAUAAGUUGGCGCUUACCUUUGUGACGAUUGCUUAUGAACAUUUUUGGAGGAUUUUUAUUUUCCUAAUAAUAUGUACACUUUCAUCAAUUCUAUGUACUUUAUACAUUAUUUCAAUAUAUUUAAAGUUAUUUACAAUUUGUUUUU
Molecule: long non-coding RNA, 1049 nt
Organism: Beta vulgaris subsp. vulgaris (sugar beet)
Lineage: Eukaryota; Viridiplantae; Streptophyta; Magnoliopsida; Caryophyllales; Amaranthaceae
Exons: 5
Source: RefSeq, a predicted model, not a curated record